UGGACCAGCCUCGGCUUACACAUGCAAGUCGAGGGGCAGCAUCAUCAAAGCUUGCUUUGAUGGAUGGCGACCGGCGCACGGGUGAGUAACACGUAUCCAACCUGCCGACAACACUGGGAUAGCCUUUCGAAAGAAAGAUUAAUACCGGAUGGCAUAAUUAUUCCGCAUGGGAUAAUUAUUAAAGAAUUUCGGUUGUCGAUGGGGAUGCGUUCCAUUAGGCAGUUGGCGGGGUAACGGCCCACCAAACCUACGAUGGAUAGGGGUUCUGAGAGGAAGGUCCCCCACAUUGGAACUGAGACACGGUCCAAACUCCUACGGGAGGCAGCAGUGAGGAAUAUUGGUCAAUGGACGAGAGUCUGAACCAGCCAAGUAGCGUGAAGGAUGACUGCCCUAUGGGUUGUAAACUUCUUUUAUACGGGAAUAAAGUGAGCCACGUGUGGCUUUUUGUAUGUACCGUAUGAAUAAGGAUCGGCUAACUCCGUGCCAGCAGCCGCGGUAAUACGGAGGAUCCGAGCGUUAUCCGGAUUUAUUGGGUUUAAAGGGAGCGUAGGCGGGUUGUUAAGUCAGUUGUGAAAGUUUGCGGCUCAACCGUAAAAUUGCAGUUGAUACUGGCGACCUUGAGUGCAACAGAGGUAGGCGGAAUUCGUGGUGUAGCGGUGAAAUGCUUAGAUAUCACGAAGAACUCCGAUUGCGAAGGCAGCUUACUGGAUUGUAACUGACGCUGAUGCUCGAAAGUGUGGGUAUCAAACAGGAUUAGAUACCCUGGUAGUCCACACAGUAAACGAUGAAUACUCGCUGUUGGCGAUAUACAGUCAGCGGCCAAGCGAAAGCAUUAAGUAUUCCACCUGGGGAGUACGCCGGCAACGGUGAAACUCAAAGGAAUUGACGGGGGCCCGCACAAGCGGAGGAACAUGUGGUUUAAUUCGAUGAUACGCGAGGAACCUUACCCGGGCUUAAAUUGCAACUGACGGAACCGGAAACGGUUCUUUCUUCGGACAGUUGUGAAGGUGCUGCAUGGUUGUCGUCAGCUCGUGCCGUGAGGUGUCGGCUUAAGUGCCAUAACGAGCGCAACCCUUACGGGUAGUUACCAUCAGGUUAUGCUGGGGACUCUACCCGGACUGCCGUCGUAAGAUGUGAGGAAGGUGGGGAUGACGUCAAAUCAGCACGGCCCUUACGUCCGGGGCUACACACGUGUUACAAUGGGGGGUACAGAAGGCAGCUACACGGCGACGUGGUGCUAAUCCCAAAAACCUCUCUCAGUUCGGAUUGGAGUCUGCAACCCGACUCCAUGAAGCUGGAUUCGCUAGUAAUCGCGCAUCAGCCACGGCGCGGUGAAUACGUUCCCGGGCCUUGUACACACCGCCCGUCAAGCCAUGAAAGCCGGGGGUACCUGAAGUACGUAACCGCGAGGAGCGUCCUAGGGGAAAAGCCGGG
RNAcentral lists this ribosomal RNA (1434 nucleotides) under Bacteroides stercoris. Its description in RNAcentral is "bacterial SSU rRNA". It matches the Rfam family "Bacterial small subunit ribosomal RNA". The record is from RNAcentral. Lineage: Bacteria; Pseudomonadati; Bacteroidota; Bacteroidia; Bacteroidales; Bacteroidaceae.